Molecule: long non-coding RNA, 1105 nt
Filed under: Sinocyclocheilus grahami
Lineage: Eukaryota; Metazoa; Chordata; Actinopteri; Cypriniformes; Cyprinidae
Description: lncRNA (ENSSGRG00000017264.1)
Source: RNAcentral
AGAGAGGCCAUAUAGUAGACCCAGAAGAAAAGCACCAGGCCCAGACGGUGUGACACCAGCCUGUCUGAAAACCUGCGCUGACCAACUGGCCCCCAUCUUCUCACAGAUCUUCAACAGAUCACUGGAGCUGUGCAAAGUCCCUGCCUGCUUCAAACGCUCCACCAUCAUCCCCAUCCCAAAGAAACCUAAGAUAACAGGACUUAAUGACUACAGACCUGUGGCCCUAACGUCUGUGGUCAUGAAGACAUUUGAGAGGUUGGUGUUGGCUUAUCUGAAGGACAUUACUGGACCCUUACUAGACCCCCUGCAGUUUGCUUACCGAGCAAACAGGUCCGUGGAUGAUGCAGUCAAUAUGGGACUGCACUUCAUCCUGCAACAUCUGGACAAAACAGGGACUUAUGUGAGGAUCCUGUUUGUGGACUUUAGCUCUGCUUUCAACACCAUCAUUCCAACACUCCUCCAGACCAAACUAACCCAGCUCUCUGUCCCUAGCUCUAUCUGUCAAUGGAUCACCAGCUUUCUGACAGAUAGGCAACAGCUAGUGAGAAUUGGUAAAUUCACAUCCAACAACCGCACCACCAGCACUGGCACCCCUCAGGGUUGCGUCCUCUCCCCACUGCUCUUCUCCCUCUACACCAAUGACUGCACCUCUAAAGACCCCUCUGUCAAGCUCCUGAAGUAUGCAGAUGACACUACAGUCAUCGGUCUCAUCAAGGAUGGAGACGAGUCUGCUUACAGACAGGAGGUUAAAGAGCUGGCUGUCUGGUGCAGUCUUAACAACUUGGAGCUGAACACCCUCAAAACUGUGGAGAUGAUCGUGGACUUCAGGAGGAACCCCCCUGCACUCCCCCCACUCACCAUCAUGGAUAGCACUGUAACGACAGUGGAGUCAUUCAGGUUCCUGGGCACCACCAUCUCUCAGGACCUGAAGUGGGACACUCACAUUGACUCCAUUGUUAAAAAGGCCCAGCAGAGGUUGUACUUCCUUCGCCAGCUGAGGAAAUUCAACCUGCCACAGGAGCUGCUGAAACAGUUCUACUCAGCCGUCAUCGAGUCUGUUCUGUGCACUUCAAUAACUGUCUGGUUUGGUUCAGCUACAAAAUCA